Molecule: ribosomal RNA, 270 nt
Filed under: uncultured archaeon
Lineage: Archaea
Description: partial 16S ribosomal RNA
Rfam family: Archaeal small subunit ribosomal RNA
Source: RNAcentral
CUGCAGCCCGAGUGGUGGUCGAUUUUAUUGAGCCUAAAGCGUCCGUAGCCGGACUAGUAAACCCUUGGGUAAAUUGGGCAGCUUAACUGUCCGACUUCCGAGGAGACUGCUAGUCUUGGGACUGGGAGAGGUCAGAGGUACUCCAGGGGUAGGGGCUAAAUCCUGUAAUCCUUGGGGGACCACCAGUGGCGAAGGCGUCUGACUAGAACGGAUCCGACGGUAAGGGACGAAACCCUGGGGCGCAAACCGGAUUAGAUACCCGAGUAGUCC